This 945-nucleotide long non-coding RNA is filed under the name Ovis aries (sheep). Its description in RNAcentral is "lncRNA (ENSOARG00000026248.1)". Lineage: Eukaryota; Metazoa; Chordata; Mammalia; Artiodactyla; Bovidae. The record is from RNAcentral.
CCCGGGACCCCGGCGGGACUGUGCCUCGGCCGCCCAGUCCUGGGGCUCCGUGGCUCCCACCCUGGCCUGGGCCAGCCUCGGGUCCCCUCGGGUGGGGGCUCGGCAGGGAGAGAGGGAGAGGGGAGUGGGGGAGGAAGAGGAGAGGCGCCCUGACUCACAGGGGGUGACUCAGCCUCGGCCCACCGAGCGCGGCCGGAUACCCUCACCUCCCCUCCCUGGCAGCUCGGCGCGGGGCAGAACUUCCCCGGAGCCAGCGCUCCUCCUCCACCAGGGGGGCGGUAUCGCAAACGUCUCCCAGGGGUCCCAUGUGUGUGUACGUGUGCAUUUGUUCCUAUGUGCUUCGGUGACAAAUGGCUGUGUAACGGUGGGGCCUGGCCGGUGUACAGCUGUUUCUGGAGGUGCCGUAGGCAUCCAGGCUCUAGGAAGGUGGGCUUGGGGGGUGGCCAGAAGGCCAGCAGCACCAAGGUCCUGGCUCAAAACCAAGUGAAGCCUGGCUCCUCCCUUCCAGCCGCGCUGUUAGAACUCAGAAAGCUGUCCAGACCACCUUACCAGACAGAGGAAAACCCCCAACAGCCUGCCUUCCAGUCCAGCCCUGUCACGUGUCAACCAGUACCUUUGGGCACAUGGCUCUCUUGCUCUGGGCCUCACUUUGCCAAUGAAAGAAAGAGCUGGAUGUACCUGUCUCCACAACAUGAUCCCCUGAGAUUUCUGCCCACCGGUCCACAUUUGCAGCCCACACGACCCCUGCUCCCUGACCCGCCACCAUCCCGGGCAUACACAUACACAUUCUUUAAAUCAUUCCUGAGUACCUACUGCAUGCCAGCCACCGUUCUAGGUGCUGCAGAAUCCACCACACUGGAAACUGAAGGUUCAAAGCUGGGACGCCACCCACAUGAGAACCAAGAGAUCGGAAGCCAUGCGCAUCCACUCGGAAAGAUAGUGUAG